CAAGUGCUACCUCCUGGAGCUUCUCUUGGAAAUGGGCUCACACCAGAGGCCGCAAGAGACCUUGGCCUUCUCCCUGGGAUUGCGGUCGCAGCUUCACUCAUUGAUGCCCAUGCAGGAGGACUAGGAGUGAUUGGGGCAGAUGUGAGAGGGCACGGCCUCGUCUGUGAGGGGCAGCCAGUGACGUCACGGCUGGCUGUCAUCUGUGGAACGUCUUCUUGUCACAUGGGGAUCAGCAAAGACCCGAUUUUUGUACCAGGCGUCUGGGGCCCUUAUUUCUCAGCCAUGUUACCUGGGUUCUGGCUGAAUGAAGGUGGUCAGAGCGUUACUGGAAAAUUGAUAGACCACAUGGUACAAGGCCAUGCUGCUUUUCCAGAACUACAAGUAAAGGCCACAGCCAGGUCACCGGAUUGAAACUGUCUCAGGACCUCGAUGAUCUUGCCAUUCUCUACCUGGCCACAGUUCAAGCCAUUGCUGUAAGAUACUGUAAUGCCAUUUUUAAAGAGACUUAGAGCCAUCAGUAUCCUCUAGGCCACCGGCUCCCCAGGAUACAACACAUGCUUUUGUGACAGAGAUUCUUAAUUAAAAGAUUGUUUGCAAAAAAGA
This 603-nucleotide small RNA is filed under the name Pongo abelii (Sumatran orangutan). RNAcentral's name for it is "processed transcript". The record is from RNAcentral. Lineage: Eukaryota; Metazoa; Chordata; Mammalia; Primates; Hominidae.